GUAAUUUAUCAUUAAAAGGAAGAUAAAAAUUUUUCAAAUUUACAAUUUUUCAGUUCAACCAAAUGGUAACUUUCACCACACAUUUUCAUUCAUGUCUACCUUUGUUCUCUGCAGAGUUGUGACCCCAGCCAGAACCUGACAGAGCUAUGUACAGAAAGCAAUAAAGAGACAACAUGGAUGACCCAGGCAGUGUUCCUUCCCUGAGGACUCAUGAGCUAUGCUGUGCAAAAUGAGGUAUCCCUUCCUUCCUAGCUCUGAGUUUGCUGUUUGACACUACUGCCUCUUAUAAUGUCUGCACACAAGUUUUUAUCUAUCUUCUGAGUGUCUUUAAGCUUCUCCUUUUAGAUUCAGGAAAUUAAUUUCCAAAAAUACCUUAUAAAGUCUAAAUAAUUUUUAAAUUAUUGAUGUUUGAAUGUUUUAGGUGGAAUAAGAUAUGUGUUUUUCACAGAAUAAUUAAGUAUGUAUUUUGACCAACAGUAAACAAUCUCUUUUAGCUUUAUAUAAACAUGAUAAAACUCAAAGCCCUCAAAAUCUGACUCGGAAUAAAAUACAAAAUUAUAUUUAAGGUCA
RNAcentral lists this long non-coding RNA (570 nucleotides) under Anas platyrhynchos platyrhynchos (common mallard). RNAcentral describes it as "lncRNA (ENSAPLG00000018285.1)". The record is from RNAcentral. Lineage: Eukaryota; Metazoa; Chordata; Aves; Anseriformes; Anatidae.